AUAGUAUUUCCUCCGUCCGGAAUUACUUGUCGCAUAAAUGGAUAAAAAUGAUGUAUCUAAAACUAAAACACAUCCAGAUACAUCCAUUCUAAUGACAAGUAUUUUCGGACGGAGGAAGUACCAA
Molecule: non-coding RNA, 124 nt
Organism: Hordeum vulgare subsp. vulgare (domesticated barley)
Lineage: Eukaryota; Viridiplantae; Streptophyta; Magnoliopsida; Poales; Poaceae
Source: Rfam